Molecule: long non-coding RNA, 1534 nt
Organism: Cornus florida
Lineage: Eukaryota; Viridiplantae; Streptophyta; Magnoliopsida; Cornales; Cornaceae
Exons: 3
Source: RefSeq, a predicted model, not a curated record
UUUUAGACUCCCCAAUCGCCUCCAUCUCUAUUCUCGUUCUCUACUCUGAACCCUUCCCCCCCUCUCUCUCUCUUUCUCUCUCUCUCCCCAACUGCAAACUACAAAAUCUACAAAAAUCAAUUCAAAACCCAUAUAUUUCAGUUAAUCUCUCUUUCUGCAAGAAUCAAAAGUUGAAAACCUAUUACCUAAAUCAAAACCCCCAUAUCGGCAUAUCAUUUCAGAUAGUUCCAAAAAUCAAAACCCAUAUCUUUCAGUUUCCAUCGCUCGUUGUUCCAGUUCAGGUUCGUCUUUCGCAAGCUUCAACUUGCCCCCCUCUCUUUCUCUGCAACUGCUAACUUGUAUGUAUGUGUUUUGUUUUAAUUUUUUUUUCUAAAUCAACUAACAAAGCUCUGUAAUUCUUGUUUUGCAAACUAAAAUUAAGCGUAAUCUUGAUUUUGUGUUAGGGUAAAUUUGGCAUCAGAAAUAAUACAUCUCGCGAAUUACUUCUGAAUAAAUUAACAAAUCAUAUGUAAGAACCGUAGCAUUUCGUGAUUCAUUGGUAAAUCUACUUUGAUUCUCUAUCAACCAGUUAUGUGGGACUCUUAAACAUGGUUAAAGCUAAGCCGUUUGAAGUCUAAACGCAGCAUGGUACUCUUUCUAUCACUAUGUUAAUACAGAGAGGUUUCAAAAUGAAUAUUUUUUUGGUCUCCUUCCAUUUUUUUUUCCAUUUCCUCCCAUAUUUAUGAGAGGAUAAGAAAAUUACUGUUUAUGCCUUGAGCUACCCUUUCAAAACCAUCCCUUUCCUGCCGACCAUUUAUGCCAAAUACAAAAUUUUAACCACCCACCGUCACCUUUCAUUCCCUUUCUUUUCUCACCUUCCAUCACCUUACCUUUCCUUUUCUUUCCUCCCUUUUCCAUUGCACCAAACUGACCUAACCCUAGCUGCGCGUAGAUAGUAGAGUCCUGCCGACAAGUUGCUCUUCCACAUCGGCGAAGACUAGUCUCUCCCUCUCCCUCUCCCUCGCUAGUCUCUAUCUAUAUCUUCGCCAUAUUUCCCGCGAUCUCGCACCUCUCCAUUUGGAUGACUGAACGAGAAGUGAAUUCUGAAGCAAUGAUCAAAUUGGUGGAGGUGCUACCAAAUUUCCCAAUCACAAGUGGGAAAAAAAAAAAAAAAUCCCAAUUGCAAAAAAGGUAGAAGUUUAUUGGAUUGGGCGGUGUCGGUAAAAAAAACAGCUGAGUCUUGGGGAAGCUAUUUUGGUAGGAUCUUCGGGCGCUUCACAGGUGAAGCUGUUGUUGCUCCUGUUGAAGAUGUUGCAGAUAAAGCUGCUCCUGCUUAAUUUGUUGCAUAAUUUAUCUCAAGAUCUAGACUUUUGUUUGUCUUCCCAUUUAAGGGUAAUCUCGCCAUUAAGAUGUAUAUUCUUCCUUUUUGCAAACAAAACACUCUAGACUUUUGUUUAUCUCCCCCAUUUAAGGGUAAUCUCGCCAUUAAGAUGUAUAUUCUUCCUUUUUGCAAUCAAAACGGCUGCGUUUUCUAUAUAAGUUUUCUGUUUCUUUA